RNAcentral lists this ribosomal RNA (228 nucleotides) under Haemophilus influenzae. Its description in RNAcentral is "partial 16S ribosomal RNA". It matches the Rfam family "Bacterial small subunit ribosomal RNA", at positions 1 to 221 of the family's 1533-position model. Lineage: Bacteria; Pseudomonadati; Pseudomonadota; Gammaproteobacteria; Pasteurellales; Pasteurellaceae. The record is from RNAcentral.
ACUUGAAUUGAAGAGUUUGAUCAUGGCUCAGAUUGAACGCUGGCGGCAGGCUUAACACAUGCAAGUCGAACGGUAGCAGGGGAAAGCUUGCUUUCUUGCUGACGAGUGGCGGACGGGUGAGUAAUGCUUGGGAAUCUGGCUUAUGGAGGGGGAUAACGACGGGAAACUGUCGCUAAUACCGCGUAUUAUCGGAAGAUGAAAGUGCGGGACUGAGAGGCCGCAUGCCAU